This is a long non-coding RNA of Bos taurus (domestic cattle), 564 nucleotides long. NCBI's taxonomy places the organism in Eukaryota, Metazoa, Chordata, Mammalia, Artiodactyla, Bovidae. The record is from Ensembl.
GGCGCUCAGCCGCCGCCGCCGCCGCGGCCCGGGGCUCAGCGGUCCAGUCUUCUGCCCGCGGCGCGGCUGGAGCGGCGGCGUCGGCAACAGACCAGGAGACCUCGAUCUCACCCUGACGGUAAGAUCAAAAGUCUCCGCUCGCCCCCAGCCUGCGGGCUUGGGCUCGGUCCAGACGCCUCCCUGAAUGCAGAUGUGCUGCCGCCGUCCUCCGGGGCUAUAAAGCCGCCUCCUGCGCCUUGGCGUGCGCAGGAGCGCACGGAGUUGCGGGAUGCGGACCCUGGGCGGUUGCGGGGAGUUGGAGUCUAGCUGCAGCUGGGCCCCGGGCUGGCCUCGUGCGUGGGGCGGGCGCGUGGCGCGGAGUUGGUGCCUGCGGCCGCAGAGGCCAGAGCAACUGCCCCUCCAGGCCCGGGAGACGCGGCCGUGGGGCGUGAAACGCUUCUUGCGAAGGAGAAAACGACGUUUAUUCUGUCACAGUUCCAGAGGCCAGAGGUCUGAAAUCAGCAUGAAGUCAGGGGCCAGAUCAGGGUGUCACCAUGGUCUUCUUCCAGCAGGAAGCUCUGCGGG